UUUUUAUUUUGGGAUGCC
RNAcentral lists this non-coding RNA (18 nucleotides) under Arabidopsis thaliana (thale cress). Lineage: Eukaryota; Viridiplantae; Streptophyta; Magnoliopsida; Brassicales; Brassicaceae. The record is from RNAcentral.